This 1531-nucleotide long non-coding RNA is filed under the name Anser brachyrhynchus (Pink-footed goose). RNAcentral describes it as "lncRNA (ENSABRG00000014972.1)". Lineage: Eukaryota; Metazoa; Chordata; Aves; Anseriformes; Anatidae. The record is from RNAcentral.
GUGACAGCGUCAUGAAUUGAUGUCUCCAGCAUCACGGUCUGUGGGUGACAAAUGGGAACGCAUCCCCAUCAGCAAACCCCGCUGAACCAACAAGCAUCGCUCCUGCCCCCCUGCAUUGCUUGGGCAUCGCCCCAGCCUGUGCUUUUGCUUGUGGUAAGCAGAAAGCACCUGUCCCUGGGGUGUGCAGGCCAGCUUGGCAAGCCAGGACCGUCACUACCCAGGAGAGAGCACUCCCCUCGUGCCUGCAGGACCGAGCGCUGGGGACACAGCUGGACUGGCCAGACUCCUCUGAGCCGUAAGUCCCCACGCAGCGCUCUGCUUGGGAAAACAGCCGAGAGCAGCUCUCUGGAGACGUUUGCUGUGUCUGCAACAGAGGGGAGGGAAGUGAGACCAGCCAGGGACCAGAACAGAGGGAAAUGGCCUCUGGGUAGACAUGUGGAUGAGGAGGAAAUGCCAAGCCCCAAGCCCAUCAGCCGGGGCAGCACAGGUGAAUUCACAUUGCUCCCAGUGAUUGCUGUCCUCGUGGUCUGAGUGUAUGCUGAGGGUGAUUUGGAAGAGUUGAUUUCUUGACUAGGACUAAUGGAGGAAUUUUGGGACAUGCAGGUCCUUUUUAAGUUGCAACUAAUGACAUCAGCCCUUGACUGGGAUCAGCACAUGGCUCCUCUUUCCGCACCAGGAGACCAGGGGAAUCCCUCGUACAAGGUUUGGUGCUCACGACUCAGCAGUCUGUGCAGCAGCUGGGAGGCAACAGCCCCCAGGAAAAACGAAUCCAGCUUCCCUGCUUGGUACCUUCCUGCACAAGCAGGUUACUGGGGGGUAGGGGGAACAGGCAAAUGCAGAAAUGUACUUACACCUCCCAGGAUCCAUGGGCAUGGCUGAGGGAAACCUCUUUUGAUGGGGAAGGGCUCUCCGAAAACCAUGAGCAGAGCAAUCUAGCUGGUAGCUCUGGUGUGCUGCAGCAGCCUGGCCCUGGGUUUCAAAUGGGGAACACUCAUGACAUGAAUGGAUUCAAGUCAGGAAGAGCCUUCGCACUGGCAGUGGGCUUACAGGAAUGAGUUAAAAUCAUUUUGUUUGCUUUGUGAAAUUUAUUAAAAACUACAUUGUUCAUCUGCUGAAACUUCACAGCUGUUGAGAUUGCCCUCAGGGCAAACCACAUCCAAGAAAUGGCAUGUAGAUCUUGGGAGCACAAGACUUGAAAGCUGAAAUUGCACUCUGCAGCGCUGCCUUCGCUUCCCGUGCAGUCACGUCGAGCCAUCUGUGGCUCCUCCAGUUAGACACCACACUUCUUAAUUCCUACUUUUUCUCAUCUCUGACUCUCGCAGUGGAAUCAGCCCUGCAGUGCAAGUACUUCAUUUCAAAGCCUUGUGUUUUGGCUAAAAAGGGACAGAGGUAGGAUGCAGGCGGCAAGAGAUCUGUGUGGGAAGUGGGUGCUCAGAGCCCAUGGCAUUCAGUGUCAGAUACAGCCAGGCGCCGUGCUGCAGCAGAUGUGCCAUCGGGUAUCACCUCCCUCUGACGUUACUGCUUCGUUGUC